CACCUCUAGCAUUUCCAGUAUUAGAGGCACUGCCUGCCCAGUGACAUCUGUUUAAACGGCCGCGGUAUCCUAACCGUGCAAAGGUAGCAUAAUCACUUGUUCCCUAAAUAGGGACUUGUAUGAAUGGCCACACGAGGGUUUUACUGUCUCUUACUUCCAAUCAGUGAAAUUGACCUUCCCGUGAAGAGGCGGGAAUGACUAAAUAAGGCGAGAAGACCCUAUGGAGCUUUAAUUAACUGAUUCACAAAAAACAACACACAAACCUAACCUUCAGGGACAACAAAACUUUUGAUUGAAUCAGCAAUUUCGGUUGGGGUGACCUCGGAGAACAAAACAACCUCCGAGUGAUUUAAAUCCAGACUAACCAGUCAAAACAUAUAAUCACUUAUUGAUCCAAACCAUUGAUCAACGGAACAAGUUACCCUAGGGAUAACAGCGCAAUCCUAUUCCAGAGUCCAUAUCGACAAUUAGGGUUUACGACCUCGAUGUUGGAUCAAGACAUCCUAAUGGUGCAGCCGCUAUUAAGGGUUCGUUUGUUCAACGAUUAAAGUCUU
This 554-nucleotide ribosomal RNA is filed under the name Equus caballus (horse). RNAcentral's name for it is "partial large subunit ribosomal RNA". It matches the Rfam family "Bacterial large subunit ribosomal RNA", at positions 1816 to 2597 of the family's 2925-position model. The record is from RNAcentral. Lineage: Eukaryota; Metazoa; Chordata; Mammalia; Perissodactyla; Equidae.